Molecule: unclassified non-coding RNA, 377 nt
Filed under: uncultured Agaricomycetes
Lineage: Eukaryota; Fungi; Basidiomycota; Agaricomycetes
Description: sequence contains ITS2
Rfam family: 5.8S ribosomal RNA (bases 1-154)
Source: RNAcentral
AACUUUUAACAAUGGAUCUCUUGGCUUUUGCAUCGAUGAAGAACGCCGCGAAAUGCGAAACGUAAUGUGAAUUGCAGAAUUCAGUGAAUCAUCGAAUCUUUGAACGCAUCUUGCGCCCCUUGGUAUUCCGAGGGGCAUGCCUGUUUGAGAGUCAUGAAUACCUCAAUUCAAAUUUAUUUUUUGAAUUGGACUUGGACGCUGUCGUAGUGACUCGUCCUAAACAGAUGAGUGGUUUCAUUUGGGUGACCCAAUGUGAUAAUUUAUUGAGCAUUGUUGAAUUCAAAGUGGACUGCUUCAAACACCUUAACUUCAUGUCGUCUGACCUCAAAUCAGGUAGGACUACCCGCUGAACUUAAGCAUAUCAAUAAGCGGAGGCU